AGAGUUUGAUCAUGGCUCAGAUUGAACGCUGGCGGCAUGCUUUACACAUGCAAGUCGAACGCGAAAGCGGGGCAACCCGCAAGUAGAGUGGCGAACGGGUGAGUAAUACAUCGGAACGCGCCCUUUAGUGGGGGACAACGCCGAGAAAUCGGCGCUAAUACCGCAUACGCCCGAAAGGGGAAAGCGGGGGACCGCAAGGCCUCGCGCUGUUGGAGCGGCCGAUGUCCGAUUAGCUAGUUGGUGGGGUAAAGGCUCACCAAGGCGACGAUCGGUAGCUGGUCUGAGAGGAUGAUCAGCCACACUGGGACUGAGACACGGCCCAGACUCCUACGGGAGGCAGCAGUGGGGAAUUUUGGACAAUGGGGGCAACCCUGAUCCAGCCAUGCCGCGUGAGUGAAGAAGGCCUUCGGGUUGUAAAGCUCUUUCGGCCGGAACGAAAUCGCGCGGGCGAACAAUCCGCGUGGAUGACGGUACCGGAAUAAGAAGCACCGGCUAACUACGUGCCAGCAGCCGCGGUAAUACGUAGGGUGCAAGCGUUAAUCGGAAUUACUGGGCGUAAAGCGUGCGCAGGCGGUCGCGUAAGCCAGAUGUGAAAGCCCCGGGCUUAACCUGGGAAUUGCAUUUGGUACUGCGUGGCUAGAGUGCGGCAGAGGGAGGUGGAAUUCCUGGUAGCAGUGAAAUGCGUAGAUAUCAGGAGGAACACCGAUGGCGAAGGCAGCCUCCUGGGCCAGCACUGACGCUCAUGCACGAAAGCGUGGGGAGCAAACAGGAUUAGAUACCCUAGUAGUCC
RNAcentral lists this ribosomal RNA (790 nucleotides) under uncultured bacterium. RNAcentral describes it as "bacterial SSU rRNA". It matches the Rfam family "Bacterial small subunit ribosomal RNA", at positions 8 to 796 of the family's 1533-position model. The record is from RNAcentral.